AUAAUUUCCAUAGGUAUAAAUUUCGGUCAACCUAUUUUAUAUAUUAUGUGUUCCCUUUAAUAUCUGUUGAGAUUAACAUUACUUUUUAUUACUUAACAAAAUAAUUUGCUUUAAAAAUGAUAUAGAAUUUGAGGUUAGAUUUUUUUGAUUUUCUUAGAUCAUUUCUAAUCAUUUCACGAAAGUAUAGCAUCUCAAACCUUAAAGAAUCUAUUACAGAAUAAUAAAAAAGGAAUCGAAAAAAUCAAGGAAAAGAUAAGGAAGGAGUAAUGAAAAAUAACUUUUAAAAAUGUACUAACAAUAUUGUUUACUACUAAUCAAUAUUCUAUGAUUUAUAUAUACUUCCAGAAAUUUUCACCUUAUAGAACUUAUACUUCAACAUUCGGGCAACACACAUAUGGGUCAUUCUACGGAGGUUUUACCCUCUAAUAUUUUUUUGGGUGAUAUAAUUUUUUUCGUUUUUUGAUAAAAAAUAUUUAAUAUUCAAUAUUUAAUUGAAAUUAAGGAUACUGAAGAAUUGCACAAUUGAAAUUACAUAAAAAAUUAGGCAUUUUUAUAAAAAAAAGAAAUUGUUAAAAAAGGACCUUAUAUUCCUUAUUUAAACCCAAUAUAAAAGGAUUAAAAUUCCUAACGCAUUCUAGAAUAUACUGAAAAAAUUUCAAAGUAAGGAAAUAAAUAGAUAUUGAUGAAUAGUUGUAAUACGUGGCACGCGCGGUAGCAUACACGUUUGAAACUUGUAAAGGCUUCAGUUCAAAAUUCAUUUUUCAACCACUAUUGAUUUUUCCACUUUGAAAUUUUUACAGUAUAUUCUGGAAUGGGUUAGGAGGAAUAUUAAUCUAAAAAAAUGGGAAAAUAUUAUGUCCUUUUUUGGAAAUAUCUUCUUGUUUAUAAAAAUGCCAAAUUUAUUUAUAAAGAUUGAAAGCAGUAAUUUUGCAGUUUACUUCAGCUUGACGUUCGAGAUCAACCGCAUAUUACAUAAAAUGUUUGAAAUUUUUUUAUGAUUAAUUUUUCAGUCAUAAAAAAGUUGAGACGAGCACUUUUUUUAACACGAUAAUUUAAAAAAAAAUUAUUAUACAACUUGCCAAACAUUUAUUGCUUUUUACGUCAUUUCUGAGUAAGGUCGUUGAAAUAAAUUUUGAUAUUCCUUUUUGAUGUCGCUGUACUUAUUUUUAGUGAAUACUGAUGCAAUAGACUAUAGUAUUUGUACAAGAAAUCUGUUCUAAGGAACGAUAAACUCAAGCUUGAAGCUGGCGAAGGUCGUUAUGUAAAAUAAAAAAAUCCAAUUGAAACUUCAAACAAAUUUCUACUCUGAAUUAUUACUAAAAUUGUCCAAAUAUUUGUAUUCCUAAAGGGCUGGGAAGACUAUAUUUAGUUAUUUUUGUUAUCAAGGAAUACAAAAAGGAAAAAUACAUGGAUACAAUACAAUCCUCGGUGUUUUGAAUAUUUACUUACUGAAAGCGUAUUUAAAAAAAGUUGCUUUUGGUUUUUUUUAAUAAAAAUAGCAUUCGGUAGUUAAUAGCUCCAAAAUUAUUAAUCUAUUAUUUUAGUUUUAUAUCAACUGUGCGUAUUUCGUUGAGAAAAAUCCUCCAAGGCUAACGUAAAUAAGAACGUACCUGAUUUACAAGCCACUGAUAAGACAAUUAAACCUACAUUUUAUCACAUAUGAUUUUUCUCGCAUAAUCAGAAUCAUAAAUUUACAUAAAAUCAUUUCAAUAUAAAUUUCACACAUUUAUCCAUUUUUCGAGUGUAUAAAACGAUCUUUCUUGUCUCGAAAUUGAUUUAUAGUAUCAGGUUGAUCGAUCAAAUCAUAAGGAGAGACUACCAUAAGAGAUCAAAAUUCAACAUGAGGGUUCUCUUCUCACUUUAUAUGUUAUUUGCUGUAUUACUAGCAGCAAUAUGCGCUGCAUCCUAUGAAUGUCCCCCCGGUACAGAAUUCGAUCCUCCUCUAGAAGAAGUAAGAUAUCCUUCUUACAAGCCACAUUGUAAAACUGUCGAAGAAAUAUAUCCUCCUAUUCACCACAAAAAUCAAUAGCCCUAACAAAAAAUUUCUGAUGACGAGAAAACAGAUUAGAUGACUUAGUCCUAGCCA
Belonocnema kinseyi is the source of this 2086-nucleotide long non-coding RNA. RefSeq lists it as uncharacterized. The record is from RefSeq and is a predicted model, not a curated record. Lineage: Eukaryota; Metazoa; Arthropoda; Insecta; Hymenoptera; Cynipidae. The transcript has 3 exons.